UACGUAGGGUGCGAGCGUUACUCGGAUUUACUGGGCGUAAAGCGCAUGUAGGCGGCUUACUCAGUCUGAUGUGAAAUCCCUGGACUCAAUCCAGGAACUGCAUUGGAUACUGGUAGGCUUGAGUAUGGGAGAGGUGAGCGGAAUUCCAGGUGUAGAGGUGAAAUUCGUAGAUAUCUGGAGGAACAACAGAAGCGAAAGCGGCUCGCUGGACCAUUACUGACGCUGAGAUGCGAAAGCGUGGGGAGCAAACAGG
This 253-nucleotide ribosomal RNA is filed under the name uncultured bacterium. RNAcentral describes it as "partial 16S ribosomal RNA". It matches the Rfam family "Bacterial small subunit ribosomal RNA", at positions 524 to 776 of the family's 1533-position model. The record is from RNAcentral.